Gavialis gangeticus (Gharial) is the source of this 437-nucleotide long non-coding RNA. RefSeq lists it as uncharacterized. The transcript is spliced from 2 exons. The record is from RefSeq and is a predicted model, not a curated record. Lineage: Eukaryota; Metazoa; Chordata; Crocodylia; Gavialidae.
CUUGCGGAGGGGAAAACGAGCACAAGCUCCUACAAUGGCUCAGGGGCUGGAGCUUCCCCCGUCUGUGUACACUGGCCCCAGCAGUCUGCCGGCUCCAGAGAGGACCUGCCUUCUUGGUGCUGCCAUCUGCAUAUCCCAUUUCCUUCAUGAAUCUGUCACCUUUCCAGGCUGCCAUCUGUAAAGUGGAGACGCGGAGCGGGGCGGGAGGUUAAAGAACAAUCUGGCCCAGGGACUCCGAACCGACAGACUUUAUUCUGAUGCAUUGUAAUGUUGUCUUGCUUAUGGUAAUUCUGUCUUUAUAUUAAACGUGUCUGCAGCGGGGACGUUUGCAAAGUGCGGAACCGCCUGGAAGAUGCAACCCGACUGUUUGGUGCCCAUCUUGGUUACCGCCGGACCAACAAAGCAAAUAUUUUCCAGGGGAAAUUAUAGGGAAAAAA